Small nuclear RNA from Otolemur garnettii (small-eared galago), 107 nucleotides. Lineage: Eukaryota; Metazoa; Chordata; Mammalia; Primates; Galagidae. The record is from Ensembl.
GUGCUCACCUUGGCAGCACAUAUACUAAAAUUAGAAUGGUACAGAGAAGAUAAGCAUGGCCCCUGCACAAGGAUGACAUGCAAAUUCGUGAAGUGUUGCAUAUUUUU